RNAcentral lists this unclassified non-coding RNA (139 nucleotides) under soil metagenome. Its description in RNAcentral is "partial internal transcribed spacer 1". The record is from RNAcentral.
UCAAAACAGCGGCCUUCGGGCCUCGCUGCACCCUUGUCUUUUGCGCACCGUAUCGUUUCCUCGGCGGGCUUGCCUGCCGGUUGGACAUCAUAAAACCUUUUUGUAGUUGCAAUCAGCGUCAGAAAAACAAUAAUUAUUA